This is a long non-coding RNA of Mus caroli (Ryukyu mouse), 300 nucleotides long. RefSeq lists it as uncharacterized. The record is from RefSeq and is a predicted model, not a curated record. Lineage: Eukaryota; Metazoa; Chordata; Mammalia; Rodentia; Muridae.
UCUAGAAGCUGAUUUCUCCUGUCCAACUAACUACCUAAGGUUCUGGAGAUGAAGCUCAGUGCCUUGCAUAUAUCUAGGCUUAUCUGGAGACAUAUGUGAGUAAGCCUCCUAUCUUUGGACCAAUGGAUGGACAAUACAGCUCUUUCUUUUUGCAAAAACUGAUUCCAAUAUUCAGGCUGGAAUUGCUGACAAAAGAGAUCUUGUUCCAGGAAAGUUGGCAACGGUAUUUAACAAUGUUUAACAAUCAGACAAUGGACUGUUGACAUUUAAGCCAAAUGGUAAAACGUUGAAAGACCCCAU